Molecule: ribosomal RNA, 253 nt
Filed under: uncultured bacterium
Lineage: Bacteria
Description: partial 16S ribosomal RNA
Rfam family: Bacterial small subunit ribosomal RNA
Source: RNAcentral
UAGCGUAGGGUGCGAGCGUUGUCCGGAUUUAUUGGGCGUAAAGAGCGUGUAGGCGGCCAGGUAGGUCUGCUGUGAAAACUCGAGGCUUAACCUCGAGCUGUCGGCGGAAACCAUCUGGCUAGAGUCCGGAAGAGGAGAAUGGAAUUCCCGGUGUAGCGGUGAAAUGCGCAGAUAUCGGGAAGAACACCCGUGGCGAAGGCGGUCUCUGGGACGGUACUGACGCUGAGACGCGAAAGCGUGGGGAGCGAACAGG